ACGAACGCUGGCGGCGUGCUUCACACAUGCAAGUCGAACGGAAAGGCCCUGCUUUUGUGGGGUGCUCGAGUGGCGAACGGGUGAGUAACACGUGAGUAACCUGCCCUUGACUUUGGGAUAACUUCAGGAAACUGGGGCUAAUACCGGAUAGGAGCUCCUGCUGCAUGGUGGGGGUUGGAAAGUUUCGGCGGUUGGGGAUGGACUCGCGGCUUAUCAGCUUGUUGGUGGGGUAGUGGCUUACCAAGGCUUUGACGGGUAGCCGGCCUGAGAGGGUGACCGGCCACAUUGGGACUGAGAUACGGCCCAGUCUCCUACGGGAGGCAGCAGUGGGGAAUAUUGCACAGUGGGCGGAAGCCUGAUGCAGCAACGCCGCGUGCGGGAUGACGGCCUUCGGGUUGUAAACCGCUUUCGCCUGUGACGAAGCGUGAGUGACGGUAAUGGGUAAAGAAGCACCGGCUAACUACGUG
Molecule: ribosomal RNA, 467 nt
Filed under: uncultured bacterium
Lineage: Bacteria
Description: partial 16S ribosomal RNA
Rfam family: Bacterial small subunit ribosomal RNA
Source: RNAcentral